CCUACGGGUGGCAGCAGUGAGGAAUAUUGGUCAAUGGGCGCGAGCCUGAACCAGCCAAGUCGCGUGAGGGAAGACGGUCCUAUGGAUUGUAAACCUCUUUUGUCGGGGAGCAAAAGACGCCACGCGUGGCGUUCCGAGAGUACCCGAAGAAAAAGCGUCGGCUAACUCCGUACCAGCAGCCGCGGUACUACGGAGGAUGCGAGCGUUAUCCGGAUUUAUUGGGUUUAAAGGGUGCGCAGGCGGAAGAUCAAGUCAGCGGUAAAAUUGAGAGGCUCAACCUCUUCGAGCCGUUGAAACUGGUGUUCUUGAGUGAGUGAGAAGUAGGCGGAAUGCGUGGUGUAGCGGUGAAAUGCAUAGAUAUCACGCAGAACUCCGAUUGCGAAGGCAGCAUACCGGCGCUCAACUGACGCUCAUGCACGAAAGUGUGGGUAUCGAACAGGAUUAGAUACCCCGGUAGUC
This 459-nucleotide ribosomal RNA is filed under the name uncultured bacterium. RNAcentral's name for it is "partial 16S ribosomal RNA". It matches the Rfam family "Bacterial small subunit ribosomal RNA", at positions 338 to 795 of the family's 1533-position model. The record is from RNAcentral.